GAUACUUGGUCUAUGAGUUGAUACCGAAAGGAGUCCUCAUGACCAAAUUCACCUCUUGUGCACUAUAUUGUCUUUUGGUAGUUUAUACCUUGGUAUAGGCUGCCAAACUUUAUAACAAACCAUAUAAACUUGUCUGAAAUUAUAUAUAAAUAUAAACAACUUUUGACAACGGAUCUCUUGGCUCU
This 185-nucleotide unclassified non-coding RNA is filed under the name rhizosphere metagenome. RNAcentral's name for it is "partial ribosomal RNA internal transcribed spacer region". The record is from RNAcentral.